UGGGGAAUUUUGGACAAUGGGGGAAACCCUGAUCCAGCCAUCCCGCGUGUGCGAUGAAGGCCUUCGGGUUGUAAAGCACUUUUGGCAGGAAAGAAACGUCAUGGGUUAAUACCCCGUGAAACUGACGGUACCUGCAGAAUAAGCACCGGCUAACUACGUGCCAGCAGCCGCGGUAAUACGUAGGGUGCAAGCGUUAAUCGGAAUUACUGGGCGUAAAGCGUGCGCAGGCGGUUCGGAAAGAAAGAUGUGAAAUCCCAGAGCUCAACUUUGGAACUUCAUUUUUAACUACCGGGCUAGAGUGUGUCAGAGGGAGGUGGAAUUCCGCGUGUAGCAGUGAAAUGCGUAGAUAUGCGGAGGAACACCGAUGGCGAAGGCAGCCUCCUGGGAUAACACUGACGCUCAUGCACGAAAGCGUGGGGAGCAAACAGG
RNAcentral lists this ribosomal RNA (429 nucleotides) under Acidobacteriota bacterium. RNAcentral's name for it is "Acidobacteria bacterium partial 16S ribosomal RNA". It matches the Rfam family "Bacterial small subunit ribosomal RNA", at positions 355 to 776 of the family's 1533-position model. The record is from RNAcentral. Lineage: Bacteria; Pseudomonadati; Acidobacteriota.